RNAcentral lists this ribosomal RNA (464 nucleotides) under uncultured bacterium. RNAcentral describes it as "bacterial SSU rRNA". It matches the Rfam family "Bacterial small subunit ribosomal RNA", at positions 330 to 792 of the family's 1533-position model. The record is from RNAcentral.
GCCAGACUCCUACGGGAGGCAGCAGUGAGGAAUAUUGGUCAAUGGGCGGAAGCCUGAACCAGCCAAGUCGCGUGAGGGAAUAAGGCCCUACGGGUCGUAAACCUCUUUUGCCGGGGAGCAAAGGCGGGGACGUGUCCCCGGAUGAGUGUACCUGAAGAAAAAGCAUCGGCUAACUCCGUGCCAGCAGCCGCGGUAAUACGGAGGAUGCGAGCGUUAUCCGGAUUUAUUGGGUUUAAAGGGUGCGCAGGCGGUCUGUUAAGUCAGCGGUCAAAGCCCGGGGCUCAACCCCGUCGUGCCGUUGAAACUGGCGUUCUUGAGUGAGCGAGAAGUAUGCGGAAUGCGUGGUGUAGCGGUGAAAUGCAUAGAUAUCACGCAGAACUCCGAUUGCGAAGGCAGCAUACCGGCGCUCAACUGACGCUCAUGCACGAAAGCGUGGGUAUCGAACAGGAUUAGAUACCCGAGUA